AAAUUGAAGAGUUUGAUCAUGGCUCAGAUUGAACGCUGGCGGCAGGCCUAACACAUGCAAGUCGAGCGGAAACGAGUUAUCAGAACCUUCGGGGGACGAUAGCGGCGUCGAGCGGCGGACGGGUGAGUAAUGCCUAGGAAAUUGCCCUGAUGUGGGGGAUAACCAUUGGAAACGAUGGCUAAUACCGCAUGAUGCCUACGGGCCAAAGAGGGGGACCUUCGGGCCUCU
This 228-nucleotide ribosomal RNA is filed under the name Vibrio parahaemolyticus. Its description in RNAcentral is "partial 16S ribosomal RNA". It matches the Rfam family "Bacterial small subunit ribosomal RNA", at positions 1 to 217 of the family's 1533-position model. Lineage: Bacteria; Pseudomonadati; Pseudomonadota; Gammaproteobacteria; Vibrionales; Vibrionaceae. The record is from RNAcentral.